CCUUCUUUUUCUCUCUUUCCUCUUCCUUCCUUUUCUUCCCUCUUUCUCCUUCUUUUUCUUCCUCCCUCUUUUCCCUCCCCUUUCUUCCCUUUUUCCCUUCUUUUGUGACUGCGAGACUUGAGUGCGGCAGAGGGGGGUGGAAUUCCACGUGUAGCAGUGAAAUGCGUAGAGAUGUGGAGGAACACCGAUGGCGAAGGCAGCCCCCUGGGUCGACACUGACGCUCAUGCACGAAAGCGUGGGGAGCAAACAG
RNAcentral lists this ribosomal RNA (251 nucleotides) under uncultured prokaryote. Its description in RNAcentral is "partial 16S ribosomal RNA". It matches the Rfam family "Bacterial small subunit ribosomal RNA", at positions 608 to 775 of the family's 1533-position model. The record is from RNAcentral.